Molecule: long non-coding RNA, 857 nt
Filed under: Phoenix dactylifera (date palm)
Lineage: Eukaryota; Viridiplantae; Streptophyta; Magnoliopsida; Arecales; Arecaceae
Description: long non-coding RNA (PDAC_LNC011862)
Source: RNAcentral
CAUAUUGGGAGGUCUGUAGUAAUUUACCUAGAUUAAAUCUGCAUGUGUUUGUCUAGAUCAGAUCAAAAUAGGAGUAAUAGCAAGAUUCAUCAAGAGGCACCAUAAAAACAAUUCGUCUGGCAUAAUCAACACAACCCAUAAAAACUAUACCCGAUCAUAUUUCGCAAAACAGCGCAUUAGCAUCUAGAGUAAUGUAACAUGCCAAUAAAAAUUUUUUUUUAAGCAUGAAAACUAUUCGAGAACAAGAGUAAGACCAGGCAUGCUCCAGAAAUUAUCCAAAAAAGAUUCAUCAAUCAACAUAUGCCACUUGAAUCAGCUUAAAAGCAUGGAUCCAUUUCUUGAACCCUACCUGGAGCUCUGAUAUCACUCUAAUGGAUGUAUAGAUGAAGAUCAGAGAAUAUGCAGCAGAAUAUUAGAACCUUUGUUCAUGAUAUUUCCACAUAAAAAGCAUUCAUAUGGGUUUAAGAUAUUUAUACAUUCCCAUGACAGUGAUUUCAGAGUGUAUUUUAUCCUCUCAAGAGAGACUUUGAGGCCGUGAAUGCAUGCGAUCCUCUAAGAAUGACUACCACGGCUGCUUCAAUCCACAUACUCUACAUUUGAAGGCUUUGUUUAGCCUUGGAUCUCAGGCAACUACAUGCCAAGGGGAUGCUAUGCAAGAAAGACCUUAUUUUGUUACUUUAGAACAAGCCCUCUUCUCUUUUUCCACUCUCUUUUCUUAGAGAAGAAAGUCUCACUAGCCACCCUCUCUCUUUUCUUUCUCUCACAUGCCACAACCCUACAAUGCCUCCUUUAGGAAUAUAGAGGGAGAGACGCUAGGGUUCCUAGGGUGCAUUCGCCUAGGCCCCUUAAAGUUCUAG